This 803-nucleotide long non-coding RNA is filed under the name Homo sapiens (human). RNAcentral's name for it is "HSALNT0020434". Lineage: Eukaryota; Metazoa; Chordata; Mammalia; Primates; Hominidae. The record is from RNAcentral.
GGCUGUACUGAGAAGAGGUCCUGACUCAGAACUGGAGGACAUCAUGGAAGGCUUCCUGGAGGAAGUGCCAUCUAGGCUGAAACCUAAAGGAUGAGUAGAACUAACCAGAUGAAAAGGACAGCACUGGAUUUGACUCAUCCCUGCAUCCCCCGAGCACCUCGUGGGUGCCGUAAAGGCAGCUGGGUUGAUGAUGACUGAGUGAAGGAGCGCCUGAGUGGAUGAGCCACUGAGUGAAUGCUGAGGGAUCUAAAGCCUUGGGACUUCUGGAUCUGCAAGUGGUCCCUGUUUUGGUAGCUAUUGACUGACGAGGGGCUCUUCGGCCCACAGGUGACUGCUGUAGCCUUGAGUGAGGACCUCGGCCAAAAAGAAGGCUCCUACCGUGGCUGUUUGCUGAUGGUCUUCGCAGAGCCUGCUGUCUUUGAGCUUCCUGAGAGAGGGACACUACCCUCGCUUAGGUGAGUGCUCCAGGUCCAUGGGGCCUGAUGCUCUGUCCCUGGUCUGGCUUCCGCCCAUGUAUACAUUUGCACUCUUGAUGGUGGCUUAGGAUCUGCUUCCAACAAGUCUGCCAAAUGUGCUCUGUAACACAGGGGGACCCUCCAAAUGUGCAUUGCUUUCUGUCAGUCUCAGGAAACCCAUUCCCUUCCCAGCCUAUCUCAGAAACGGAGAGUGGUGGCUCAGUGGCCUCUGGCUCUGGCACAGCCCCUUGAUGGGUCCACAGUGGCCCCUCUGCCCUUGGCUCUGUUGGCUUCCCAACAGAUGUUCCUCUUCACAUGUAGUCCUAAGAACUCAAUCAGUUUAAAAAC